CGUAUACAACGUAUAUCAAACUGAUAUAUAUAACUUUGUUCUCAUAAGAAACAGUUUAGCUAUUAAGUGGAGGCGCUCAAUAAUUAUCUUGCUAAACCAACUUUGAUAUAAACCAACUUAUCAAGAUGAACUAUCUUGAGUAGAAAAUGUGAAAAUUAUGCUCGAAGUUAUAUUACUGAGCAAUUUACCUCGCAAGCACCGGUCAUGCUGCGGGUCAAUAACAAUCGCGCAUGUAACCAUUUCAUAAGUGCAUCAUAUGUGGUAUACAUGGCAGGUGAAUGGGCCCAUAUUCACCUUUGAUAUUUCC
This 307-nucleotide long non-coding RNA is filed under the name Nicotiana benthamiana. Its description in RNAcentral is "long non-coding RNA (NBEN_LNC040959)". Lineage: Eukaryota; Viridiplantae; Streptophyta; Magnoliopsida; Solanales; Solanaceae. The record is from RNAcentral.